AGCGAACGCUGGCGGCAGGCUUAACACAUGCAAGUCGAACGGGCAUCUUCGGAUGUCAGUGGCAGACGGGUGAGUAACCCGUGGGAACGUACCCUUCGGAUCGGAAUAACUCAGGGAAACUUGAGCUAAUACCGGAUACGCCCUUUUGGGGAAAGGUUUACUGCCGAAGGAUCGGCUCGCGUCUGAUUAGCUUGUUGGUGGGGUAACGGCCUACCAAGGCGACGAUCAGUAGCUGGUCUGAGAGGAUGAUCAGCCACACUGGGACUGAGACACGGCCCAGACUCCUACGGGAGGCAGCAGUGGGGAAUAUUGGACAAUGGGCGCAAGCCUGAUCCAGCCAUGCCGCGUGAGUGAUGAAGGCCUUAGGGUUGUAAAGCUCUUUUGUCCGGGACGAUAAUGACGGUACCGGAAGAAUAAGCCCCGGCUAACUUCGUG
This 435-nucleotide ribosomal RNA is filed under the name uncultured bacterium. RNAcentral describes it as "partial 16S ribosomal RNA". It matches the Rfam family "Bacterial small subunit ribosomal RNA", at positions 29 to 507 of the family's 1533-position model. The record is from RNAcentral.